This 76-nucleotide transfer RNA is filed under the name Enterobacter hormaechei. Its description in RNAcentral is "tRNA-Lys(ttt)". It matches the Rfam family "tRNA". From Rfam's summary of the family: Transfer RNA (tRNA) molecules are approximately 80 nucleotides in length. Their secondary structure includes four short double-helical elements and three loops (D, anti-codon, and T loops). Lineage: Bacteria; Pseudomonadati; Pseudomonadota; Gammaproteobacteria; Enterobacterales; Enterobacteriaceae. The record is from RNAcentral.
GGGCGAUUAGCUCAGUUGGUAGAGCAUCUGACUUUUAAUCAAUUGGUCGCAGGUUCGAAUCCUGCACGACCCACCA